UGGGGAAUCUUGGACAAUGGGGGCAACCCUGAUCCAGCCAUGCCGCGUGAGUGAUGAAGGCCUUAGGGUCGUAAAGCUCUUUCGCCUGUGAAGAUAAUGACGGUAGCAGGUAAAGAAACCCCGGCUAACUCCGUGCCAGCAGCCGCGGUAAUACGGAGGGGGUUAGCGUUGUUCGGAAUUACUGGGCGUAAAGCGCACGUAGGCGGACCAGAAAGUUGGGGGUGAAAUCCCGGGGGCUCAACCCCGGAACUGCCUCCAAAACUAUUGGUCUAGAGUUCGAGAGAGGUGAGUGGAAUUCCAAGUGUAGAGGUGAAAUUCGUAGAUAUUUGGAGGAACACCAGUGGCGAAGGCGGCUCACUGGCUCGAUACUGACGCUGAGGUGCGAAAGUGUGGGGAGCAAACAGGAGUUAGAUACCCUGGUAGUCCACACCGUAAAACGAUGAAUGCCAGUCGUCGGGUAGCAUGCUAUUCGGUGACACACCU
This 483-nucleotide ribosomal RNA is filed under the name uncultured bacterium. RNAcentral describes it as "bacterial SSU rRNA". It matches the Rfam family "Bacterial small subunit ribosomal RNA", at positions 355 to 853 of the family's 1533-position model. The record is from RNAcentral.